CGUUGCUACACAAGCUAUUUUUCAAGCUAUUUGGUUAUGUUAGCUGCUAACGUUAGCUGCUAACUUGCAUACUGUAGGCCAACUGGCUAACUUAGGAUAACACAUAAGUAAACUCAUUGUAGAAGUGUUUUUAAUCAGAUACUGUAUUCUAUGACGUCUGUUGUGGUUAGAAAGUGCUUUAACGGGAUGUGUUUUCAGCAAACGUUAGGUAGGUAGAAGCUAGCUAGUUAGCGUUAACGUUAGCUUGCCACUUCGCUGGCCAUUGCAGGGAGUCAUAGCAGAGGUGAAGUUCGGCACUUCUUUUGAAUCUGAGGGACUAGAGGCAAUGUUCAGCCCCACUCAUAUUCCAGAUCCUGCCCAGUUUACAGCUGCAACACAGGACUGUUACAGUGACCUCCACACCACCCUCUUCCAGAGCUCCUUCAGAAGACUAACGAUAGUAAGAUAUUUUACAUGUAAUGUAUGUUAUCAUUUCAUAGUGACAACUGUUAAUUGGCAGAAGGAAGCCAAAUAUGAAGGGCUGGGCUCUCCUGAACGUAAGCUAUUUAGCAUGCAGAUGGAGAACACACUGACACAGGCACACACACACAAAAUACACAGCACAGUCCUAUUCAAAAUGGAGAAUGACAAAAAUUACAGAAAAAGUUUGAGAACCACAGGUGUGGGGUCACUCGUUUAGCUCUGUUAGUUGGACCUGGGUGAUGCUGUUAUUUGUGUAACGGGCCCUUUUUCUGUAUUUCCUAGUGGCACAAGAUGA
This is a long non-coding RNA of Alosa alosa (allis shad), 757 nucleotides long. RefSeq lists it as uncharacterized. The record is from RefSeq and is a predicted model, not a curated record. Lineage: Eukaryota; Metazoa; Chordata; Actinopteri; Clupeiformes; Clupeidae. The transcript has 3 exons.